AAAGUUUGAUUCUAGCUUCAAGAUUAAUACUUUUCAUCUAAACACAUGCAUAACCCAUCUUCCAGUGAGCCCAUUUCCUAUUUAACAUUUAUACCUCAACUAUACUGAACUCAACUAAAGUUUAAAAUUCUCACGACUGCAGUGGCAAACCCUUAACAAUUAAUUAAAGUUAGAUUAGGUUGAAAUAUUACUGUGCUGGCUAAACCUGUGCCAGCAGUCGCGGUUAUACAGCAAGCACAAUUUAAUCUCUUUUUAGGCUCGAUAUCAGAAGCAAUACUAGUAAACCAGGGGUCUAAUCCAUUAAACCAAUUAUUCAUUACGCUUCCCGUAUAAUCGAAAGUAUAGACCAAAACAAGGAUUAGAAACCCUUUUAUUCUAAACCUCUAAAUCUGGCCUGGGCACUACGAACUCAUGUUUAAAACCCAAAGAACUUGGCGGCAAUCUAACCACUUAGGGGAACCUGUAAUUUAAUUUGAUAAUCCCCACUAACCUUUCUAUAUUUCGCCUCCAGCUUGUGUACUGCCGUCGUAAGUUUACCUUAAAAAAGUAAGUAAACAACCAAACUCUCCUUUACACGUCAGGUCAAAGUGCAGCUCAUAAUAUAGAAUCUAUGGGUUACAAUCUUCACUAAGACACGAAUUAUUUAAUGAAACUUAUUUAUGAAGUUGGACUUAAUAGUAAAAAGUAAAACUAAAUACUUUUGCAUGAGGAAAUCUAGAUCGUGCACAAAUCGCCCGUCACUCCCCUCUAAAGAGGGGAUAAGUCGUAACAUAGUAGGGGUAAUGGAAAUUGCCCCUAACCAAAA
This 805-nucleotide ribosomal RNA is filed under the name Lepidonotopodium sp. YZ-2018. RNAcentral's name for it is "12S ribosomal RNA". Lineage: Eukaryota; Metazoa; Annelida; Polychaeta; Phyllodocida; Polynoidae. The record is from RNAcentral.